Molecule: long non-coding RNA, 605 nt
Organism: Oncorhynchus tshawytscha (Chinook salmon)
Lineage: Eukaryota; Metazoa; Chordata; Actinopteri; Salmoniformes; Salmonidae
Source: Ensembl
GGGGGUGGGUGAGGGGGCUUGGCUGAGUUGGGGCUUGCUGUACUGUAGUUGGCAGGCUGAGGGGGGGUUGGGUGAGGGGCUGUGCUGUAGUGUAGCUGGCUGGAGUAACUGAUUAACACUAUAGGGCCAAACUGGGCCGAACUGAACUGGGCUGGUUAUUCUUUCACCAUAGUAGCUGGAACCGUGCUGGAAAGGACAAUGUGUAAAUAAAAUAUCUGAGUCAGUACAGUACAGGUCAGCCCUAUCGUUCAGAUCAGGCAGAGGAAGAUAUAGGCUAGGAAGGUCUUCAUGGUUUCAGGGAAGAUAUAGGCUAGGAAGGUCUUCAUGGUUUCAGGGAAGAUAUAGGCUAGGAAGGUCUUCAUGGUUUCAGGGAAGAGGCUACAGUAAAUCUAUAUGAGCCCAGUGAAGAGGCACCUUGCCGGGCACGUUGGCUGUUCGGCCGGUCCCUCUCCUGGGAGAAAACUGGUCCUCUUCAACCACACAUGGUCAUAUACAGCCACUGAAUACAUACAGAAAGAAAAGAGAAAGAGAGAGGCCAAUGGACAGAGAGGAGAGAAAGAGAGGCCAAUGGACAGAGAGGAGAGAAAGAGAGGCCAAUGGACAGA